This 200-nucleotide ribosomal RNA is filed under the name uncultured prokaryote. RNAcentral describes it as "partial 16S ribosomal RNA". It matches the Rfam family "Bacterial small subunit ribosomal RNA", at positions 1183 to 1382 of the family's 1533-position model. The record is from RNAcentral.
CGUCAAGUCCUCAUGGCCCUUACGUCCAGGGCUACACACGUGCUACAAUGGGCGGUACAGAGGGAAGCGAUAUCGCGAGAAGGAGCCAAUCCCAGAAAGCCGUCCUCAGUUCGGAUUGGAGUCUGCAACUCGACUCCAUGAAGUUGGAAUCGCUAGUAAUCGGAGAUCAGCACGCUCCGGUGAAUACGUUCCCGGGCCUU